UUGGACAAUUAUACCUGUCUUCACUUCAAUGAUGGAUGCCCGGAUUCACAUUAUUAUACAGAUCAUUUUUACAAAUAUCCCAGUUGUUUUCAGAUUGACCCAAACUCAAAAUGCUUCUUAUCCGAUUUAUUGUGCAUCAAAAAGAAUCGCAUUACUACAGUGUUAUAUGAGGAUUUAACGAACCGAAAUCCGACGACAGAUACACAGACU
Long non-coding RNA from Saccostrea cuccullata (small rock oyster), 210 nucleotides. RefSeq lists it as uncharacterized. The record is from RefSeq and is a predicted model, not a curated record. NCBI's taxonomy places the organism in Eukaryota, Metazoa, Mollusca, Bivalvia, Ostreida, Ostreidae. The transcript is spliced from 3 exons.